This 253-nucleotide long non-coding RNA is filed under the name Zonotrichia albicollis (white-throated sparrow). Its description in RNAcentral is "lncRNA (ENSZALG00000003849.1)". The record is from RNAcentral. Lineage: Eukaryota; Metazoa; Chordata; Aves; Passeriformes; Passerellidae.
UGGUCUCUCACUUCAAGUACUUCCCCUCUCAGGAAAUAAGCAGAUCCAAAUCUUCCUUUUGUUUGAACAGGACUGUGUUGCAUCAGAUUGAUCGGCCACUGUCUUUGUAAAGUCUUCUUCAUUCUCCUCAGUCCAAGGAUGUAUUUCAGAAGGCUCAGAGAGGAAUAGAGACCACUUUGAUACUUACAAAACCAGGGGCACAAAAGAUCUAUAUGAUGAAAUCUCUAUUAAAAUAAAAUGGGUGAUUGCCUGA